GCUGGGCAUGGUGGUGCAUGCCUGUAGUCCCAGCUACUCUGGAGGCUGAGGCAGGAGAAUUGCUUGAAUCCAGGAGGCAGAGAUUGCAGUGAGCCGAGAUCGCACCACUGCACUCCAGCCUGGGAGACAGAGCAAGACUCUGUCUCAA
Molecule: small RNA, 148 nt
Filed under: Macaca fascicularis (crab-eating macaque)
Lineage: Eukaryota; Metazoa; Chordata; Mammalia; Primates; Cercopithecidae
Description: Metazoan signal recognition particle RNA (ENSMFAG00000054612.1)
Source: Rfam by way of RNAcentral